Molecule: ribosomal RNA, 254 nt
Filed under: Acorus calamus (Eurasian sweet-flag)
Lineage: Eukaryota; Viridiplantae; Streptophyta; Magnoliopsida; Acorales; Acoraceae
Description: partial 18S ribosomal RNA
Rfam family: Eukaryotic small subunit ribosomal RNA
Source: RNAcentral
GAGUCUGGUAAUUGGAAUGAGUACAAUCUAAAUCCCUUAACGAGNAUNCAUUGGAGGGCAAGUCUGGUGCCAGCAGCCGCGNNAAUUCCAGCUCCAAUAANGUAUAUUUAAGUUGUUGCAGUUAAAAAGCUCGUAGUUGGACUUUGGGACGGGCCGACCGGUCUACCUCUCGGUGUGAACCGGCCGUCUCGUCCUUCGGCCGGCGAUGCGUUCCUGGUCUUAAUUGGCCGGGCUCGCUCCGGNGCUGUUACUUU